Molecule: ribosomal RNA, 433 nt
Filed under: uncultured bacterium
Lineage: Bacteria
Description: partial 16S ribosomal RNA
Rfam family: Bacterial small subunit ribosomal RNA
Source: RNAcentral
AACGAACGCUGGCGGCAUGCCUAACACAUGCAAGUCGAACGAGACCUUCGGGUCUAGUGGCGCACGGGUGCGUAACGCGUGGGAAUCUGCCCUUGGGUUCGGAAUAACAGUUGGAAACGACUGCUAAUACCGGAUGAUGACGUAAGUCCAAAGAUUUAUCGCCCAGGGAUGAGCCCGCGUAGGAUUAGCUAGUUGGUGGGGUAAAGGCCUACCAAGGCGACGAUCCUUAGCUGGUCUGAGGGGAUGAUCAGCCACACUGGGACUGAGACACGGCCCAGACUCCUACGGGAGGCAGCAGUGGGGAAUAUUGGACAAUGGGCGAAAGCCUGAUCCAGCAAUGCCGCGUGAGUGAUGAAGGCCUUAGGGUUGUAAAGCUCUUUUACCCGGGAUGAUAAUGACAGUACCGGGAGAAUAAGCCCCGGCUAACUCCGUG